GUUUCUCGUAGGGAAGUCCUGGAUCACCUGUCAUGUUGGCUCCUAAGGAACUGCUGUUGUAAGCGGCUCACCAAGAGUUGAAGUUCAUGUAGCCUUGUUGGGAAUAUGGAAAAGGAAGAAAGCCACAGGACUGCCAAUUCAGUCGGGAAGAUCUGGAUGAUUCUGCACAUGCACAAAUGACUUGAAGUUUCUGUAUAGACACUUGUACCAAUCCAUCUUCAGCUGACUGAAUGUUGUAUGAUAGCCCUUCUCCAAAGCAGAGGUGGAAGGUUCUGGUUUCACCACACAUUUAUAAACACAUUUCCUUUUUUGAAUUGGCCUAUAGAUUGUAGGUCUCUUUUGUAUAUAACCUCUAUUCUUUUGCUUUAAAAAAAAAAGUCUGUUCAUAUUUAAUGCCCU
RNAcentral lists this long non-coding RNA (399 nucleotides) under Androctonus crassicauda. The record is from RNAcentral. Lineage: Eukaryota; Metazoa; Arthropoda; Arachnida; Scorpiones; Buthidae.